This 253-nucleotide ribosomal RNA is filed under the name uncultured bacterium. RNAcentral's name for it is "partial 16S ribosomal RNA". It matches the Rfam family "Bacterial small subunit ribosomal RNA", at positions 524 to 776 of the family's 1533-position model. The record is from RNAcentral.
UACGUAGGCAGCGAGCGUUGUUCGGAAUUACUGGGCGUAAAGAGUGUGUAGGCGGUGCUCUAAGUUCGGUGUGAAAUCUCCCGGCUUAACUGGGAGGGUGCGCCGGAAAUUGGAGUGCUUGAGCGUGGGAGAGGAAAGCGGAAUUCCUGGUGUAGCGGUGAAAUGCGUAGAUAUCAGGAGGAACACCUGUGGUGUAGACGGCUUUCUGGACCAUUGCUGACGCUGAGACACGAAAGCGUGGGUAGCAAACAGG